Non-coding RNA from Plectropomus leopardus (leopard coralgrouper), 250 nucleotides. The record is from RefSeq and is a predicted model, not a curated record. NCBI's taxonomy places the organism in Eukaryota, Metazoa, Chordata, Actinopteri, Perciformes, Serranidae.
UCACCUGGAGACCUUGAAGAGAGAGAACAAGAACCUGCAGCAGGAGAUCUCAGAUCUGACCGAACAGCUUGGUGAGACCGGAAAGAGUAUUCAUGAGCUGGAGAAAGCCAAGAAGACUGUGGAGACUGAGAAGUCUGAAAUUCAAACAGCACUAGAAGAAGCUGAGGGUACACUGGAGCACGAGGAGUCCAAGAUUCUCCGUAUUCAGCUUGAGCUCAACCAGGUGAAAGGUGAGGUUGACAGGAAGCUG